UUUUAUUAUUUUAUCGAUUUGUGUCAAAUUUUGAACUGACCAAAGUUGGGACCGGCAAAAUUUAUUAAUUCAUUAUUAAUUUAUCGAUUAUUAAUUUAUAGAAGUUCUACUGUAAUAUGAAUAAUAAGUGAACAGAAAAAUAAGAUAUUCUAUUAUAUUCUAUUUUACAUGCAUCUUGUAUUAUAUUUACAUAUGCCGAUAAAUAAUUUGAGUGAAUGCAAAAUAUUAUAUUAGGAUGUAACUACUGAAAUUCAAAUUGUAAUUUGCAACAAAAUAGAACACACUUUUUCAAUCAUCAAAUAAAAUGGAUCAAAAAAUAGUAUCGAACAAAUUAAUAAAAUUAUGAAGUGUUUACAAUUACUAUAUAUACUAUAUGUAUGUAAUUAGAAAAUAAAAUAGUAUCUAAAUUUACAGUCAUAAAACUAUUUUCUCUUCCAUUGUAACACUACACAUCAAAUUUAAAAACUUGUAACCCAAACUUGUAUUCUCUGAUGAUAAAUAAUAUUUGAUACAAAUGCUUAAAUGAUCAAAUAAUAUGACUUUGUUUCAUUAAAAAUUACAAAUGUUCAUACACAUAAAACAUAUAGUACGUCAAAUUACAAACUGUAUUCUUAAACAUAGUAAAACACUUUUUCUUAAUCAGCAAAUGGAAUAGAACAAAUAAAUACUAUUACCUAGUAAAAUUAGAAAUUAGUCUAAAAUUACUAUACUAUGAAUAUUUGAAAGUAACAAAUAGAAUAUACCUAAAAUCUAUAGUCAUAAGUUAUUAUCCCUUCCAUUGCGAAAUUACCCACCACCUUCACACUGGUACCUCCAAACUUGUAUCCUCUAGUCAGAUGCACAAUCUUUCACAAUGUCAGGUUGGAUCGCUUGAAAGACGUGCAAAGACAUGCAUGAGUAUAAAAUAUGGAAUGUUAUACCCAAGGAAAAUAAAGUAGAAAUACAUAAUCUAUGUGGAAUGUCUUUUGGCUUAGCUUUACUUACUUUUUUCCCUCAAAUGGAAGAAAUAAUGGCGGCAGAACAUCAUGUGUAUCUAGCAGUGGUUGAAAAGAAAUUCCGUAGUUGUACAAUUGCUGGAAGAGAAGAAGAGAUGAGAAGAAAUGAAAAAAGUGGUUUGCAACGGUGGAAGAAAAGACGGGCUGCAAAGAGUAAAAUAAUUAGUGGAGAUAGUUUGAUCAUACAGACGAAGGUGAUUAUAGCGUAAUGAUCGGAGGUGAAAUUGAUGAAAUAAUGAAGUAAAAGAACUGAUGUCUUUGUGGCUUCACCUUUCCAUCACCUAAUCUAUUAUUAUAAAAGAGUGUUUUGCUCUCUCCUGGUGAAGCCACGUCACUAAGUCGAUGGCUGUGAACGCGACACCUGUCAUCUUCAUAAAACGUACAGUUUCAUUUAAGUUAGGAUACAGUUAAUUUGGGCUUUCGUGUGGACUUAUGCUUUAUGAAUGGUAUCUAAUUUUGUCUGUUCACUUUGAAUUAGGGUUAGCUGUCAUCUUCUAUCUAUGCGAUGAAUGAGCUAGAGCAACAAUGGAGUUCAAAUCAAGUCAGCCGAAACGUCUCAUUAAUGAUACUCAUUUAACACCAAGGCGGUUUUCUUUAACUAUAAAAGGGUAAGUCUUCUACUCUUGAACAUCAUCCUAACAUUUUGUUAUUCUACAGAAAACAAAAAAAAUUCUCAAUCAUGGCUAACUCAUCGGUUCUUCUUGGUUAUUUGAAGACUGGUGACUGCUCUUACACCGUCCAUGUGCAGUUGCUCCGAUUCUGGGAAGCUGAUUCUUGUCAACCGUCAUGCCAGCCACCAUGAAUGUUCACCGGCUAGCCACUUACAGAGACCGUCUCCAGGCUGGUUCACCGGUGCAACCAGAACUUCAGGCUUUCAGACUUGCUUCUGACAGUCCGGUACAGUGAUUCAACCAAUCUAGAUGUGCAAAACGAACCAGAUUCUCACAUUCCUGAAGAACGUUUCGGUGAUCACGAUUCGCUUCUUGGCCCAGACAACACCAACACACAUCUUCUAGACGUUAUUACUGAGCUCACUGCUAUGAGAAGUACGGUGAGUGACAUUCCUCAAGUAAAAGAGCGAGUUAUGGCGACUAUGUAGAUCGACAGUCUGUUUGACUCACAAGCGAUCUCUUUUCAGAAGAAACUUGAAGGUUGUUAUUGCAAGUAGCAUAAACCCAAAGAUGGUAGGAGGUAUAUUUGUGUCUAGAGUUAAAUACACAUGCAUACUGUCACUUAUACUAAUUUUAAAGUUUAGUGCUUACGUGUGAGGAUCCUAAUAUUCUUAAAACACACAUGGAAUAUUUUUCUGCAGGACGUUUGCACACAUGUGUUUUUAGACAAGGAAACUGAUGCAGAAGCUAGACAUGUCUCUUUCAUUUAAAGUGAGGCACUUGCAAUUCCAUUUUUUCUGAGAAUACUUUUGCAAGAGUUUUUUUCUUGGUGCACUGUAUUAAUAGGUCUUAUAUUUGUGGUUUUAGGAUCAGUCAAAACAGAACACAUUCAGAUCUCGAUUAUUAAUCUAUAGUACAUGAAGAAGUUUCAGGUAGAUAUUUAUUUCCCUAUGUCAUCUAAUCUUAUUCAUGUUCGUAUGAAGGCUGUCUCAUGAACGGAGAUGAUGAUUGUGUCAUCCUUUAGCACGUUAAACAUGACAGAAAUGAUCUUUUGAAGAGAGAAAUAGAUGUGUAUCUGCUGCAGUUGUACGGCUACUGAGAUAGAGAGGACACAAAAGAAGAUGAAUACAAAAUAUAGAUCUGCAGUACUUUGAUGAACUAGAAGCUAGAAAUGAUGGGUAGCCUUCUCCCAAACUGGAAACAUCAACAAACUACCUUGGUCUAAAUAUAAAAAGAGUCUUAACAUCAAGUAGGGUCUAAUCAUAUUUACUAAUCUAUAAGCCCAUAUGUAGAAAAAUAAUACGAGUGUGCACAAUGAUUUGGUCUAUGUGCUACUGUAUUUAGUAUUCUUUCUAGACUACGAUUCUUCUUUAAUCUUCUUCUCUGAAUAUUCUUCUACUCAAGUCAUUAGAAAAUUACCAGUUACAGUACUACUUUGGAAAAAAUUGUUUCAGUUAACAACACUUGGUACAUCAAUUGAUAUGUUAGCUUGCACAGAGUAAGUUUACAGCAACUUGCGAACCAACCGAGUUCGUAUAUUGAAUCAAAAGAAUUUUUCGACACUACUUCCAAGGGUUUGGAUACAACAACAAUACAAUGAAUUGUAUCCUAAAGACUUGCCCAUAUCCAAGUACCGUUGGUCAAGGUUUAUAUGCUUAUCAAAGUCUGCAUAUUAUGAUUUUAAAGUAAUUAUUGUUUUGAAUCUACUUUAUAACUUUAUAUUAUAGUAAUAGACUAUAAUAGAUAAUUAAUUUCAUAAUAAUAUACUUUUAAAAAUUCCUGUUCAAAAUAGCUAUUCAGUGAAUCAGUGUUACAUGAUCCAAAAGUAUAGCUUGCAAUAUAUCUGUUGAAAAAUAUAAUAUUAUGAAAAUAAAAUAACAAUAUUUCAUAAAAAAUUUACUAAUAAAAAAUAUGGUAAAUUUUUAAGGAAAUAAUAAACUAAUUAUAUAUAUAAUAAAACCAAUGUACAAAAAUCAUAUUCAAAAGGUAAUCAAAUAAAAAUAAAACAACAACCAAUUAUACUCUAAAACUAAUAAUAAUAUUUGUUUAAUAAUCUUAAUCAGUUUGGAUGAUAUGGUUUAAUUGAAAAAGUUUUAAUAAAAUAUGUAUAUUCUUAAAUAAUCAAUUUCAGAAACAAAAUUAAAAUUUUCAUAUUAUCUACAACAGUAGGUUUAGAAAUGUAUAAAAAGAAAAAAAGGUAAAAUAAUUACAUUAAUGAAAUUCUUUUUUAUUAAUUUAUAAAAAAAAUUGUUUUUAAUAAAAAAAACAAAAACAAAUAGUAAAGAUUAACAUUAUUUUAGUUUAAAGCAAACCAAAUAUUCUUACACGUAUAUUAAAAUAUAAUCAAUGUUUAGUUAUUUUCAUUUGCUUACCCGUUAGUACGACGAGUUUAACCCUAAUAUCAUAUAAAACAAAUCAACUUCAGAGUUCUACAAUUUCCCAUGAAACACAUCAAAUUUCUUCUCCAGUUAUUAAGAAGUCUUUUAAAAGCAAUACAAAUUAAUACUAAAGGUUAACAUUUAUUUCUUAUUGGAUUCUUAAAUGUCAAAAAAAAUGGUAUGGAUAAAAAAAUUAAACAAAUAGAAACAUAUGCAAAUUUCUUAAAAAAUAUCCUUAUAAAUUUACUAUUAGGUAGGAGUACGCUGCACUAAAAUUAUAUAAAACUCAUUGAUUGCUUGGUCGAUAAGAUAUUACUAAACCGAGACUAAGAUAACAAAAUCAAAAAUAAAUUGAUCCAACAAUAUAUUCGACUACUUAAAAGCGUUACAUAUUUUAAUUCGUCAAGCCCAUACAAAGCCACAUUAACAAACGUGAUAGCCCAAUAUCUCUAACAGUCCUAUAAAAUACAGCUCACAUACGUUUGAACUUGCAUAUCUAAAGACGAAAAGUCCACUAUUUUUUUCAAAUAUCUCAUAAUGUAAAACAAUCAAUACAGCAUGAAACUAAAGAAUACCUAACAAAAAAUGCUUUUACGAUUCCGCUCAAAGGAAAAUGAUACAUAAUCCAAAUUCCGCGCGUAGCGCUGAUCGACCCUUGUUAUAUAUAAACAUGUGAAGAAGAAUAAGACACGACAUAAUAAAUACAAUUAUCUAAUAAUUAUUUUAAUAUCUAUUUUAGGAGGUUACACCGGUUGUUUAGAAGGACAAAAUGGUAAUUAUAUAUAAAAUAUGUUAUGCACUCAUUUUAUAGUUAGAUUUUGAAUUGUAAUUUUUUGUUGGUUAUACAACCAAUUUUUCGUUAAAGUUUCUAAAAGAAAGAAAAAUAAAUAGUUUUUAAAUGAUAAAAUAAAUUUUCAUUCUUCUUUAUAAAUUUAAACCAACAGCUUGGUGACAUGUAUACAAUAUGUAUCCGAAAGAUGCGUCAGUAAGAAUUUUUCUUACCAUCUCACGUGCCUUUUUAUUAUUAUUAUUUUUAAUAGCUAAUACUCCUAUUAGAUCUCCCCGUUAAACCUGUUCUAACUAAAAAUGUCCUUUAAAAAAAAAUUCAUUAAUAUUAAUUUUUAAUUAAAAUAAAAGAUAUAUUAGCAAUUUCUAUAUAGAAGGCAUCUUUAUUAUUUGUUAUUUGUGGAGGGUGGUGGAAGGUUCUUUUUAUGCUUCCCAUCAGACAAGGUUUCAUAUGGAAACUUCUCCGUCUUUAUAAGAAUAGCACAUUUCACAAAAGCUAAUCUCAGCACUCAAGAAGAAAACAAAAAAAAACCUAUGAAAAUGGGUGAUUUCGAAGGAUUUUAUCUUAGUGUUGUUAUGUCAUGGUGGCACAACCACUAGUUAUGUCAGGAGGUUAGAGGCAACGGCUGAUAUACCACUCGAUAGUGAUGUAUUUCAUGUUCCUCCUGGUUGCAAUGCACCUCAACAGGUACGUACAUAUACCUUUCCUUUAAAUAAUCAACAGUCUUUUAUGAGUUUUGUUAUGGUAUCAGUUUUUUUCUUUUUUAUACUUGUUUUAGUGUAGAAAAAAAGCUAUUUAAUGGAUGUUCUUGAAUGAUUUAGCCUUUGCUAAUUUUUUCUUCUCAUCUUUGUUAAGCAAUUGAUCUAAAUUAACAUCAGGGUCGACAUGAGAUGAUUGGGACGCUACAUAGUGAAAAAUUUAAUAAUUUCUUUUUAACAAUUUAGAGGUCUAUGUUUAUGUAUAUUACAUUUUAAAAUUUUGAAAUCUCAAAGCCAAUGUUUUAUUGGAGAACCCAUGAUCGAUCCUGAAUUAAGGUUUUUUAUCUGGAUUUUCCACAAAAAGGUGCACAUUACACAAGAAGACCUUGAAGGAAAGGCAGUGAUAGUUUCUUAGGUGACGCAAAAAGCACGAGGAUCUAACACGGUUCUUUACUGGAAAAAACAUAGCAAAAAAAUGCUAAAAUCCCAUGGCAAAUCCAAGACGUACAAGUUCUACAACUAUACGUCUGGUCACAUCCAUCAUUGCACCAUCAGUAACUUAGAGGUCCAUCAUUAUCAUUAUCAUUAUCACAAUCUUUUCUAUCGUAGUGUAUCUGACUUUUUGGUUCUCUUCUUGUAAUAUGACGCCAAGUACUACUAUAUGGUAGGUGUGGGACAAACCGAACGCAAGUUAUGGUUCCUCACUCCUCCUAAACCUGGUCCUGACAUUCCCUACACGUUCGGUCUUAUUGGUAAUUGUGUCCUGAAAACCUAUUACAACUCAAGUUCAAGUCCAUGGGAAGCUAAUAACUCCCUCUCUCUUUAAAACCAUUAAUUGUUUUCAAGACACAAUUACCAAUGAAACCAAACGUGUAGGGAACGUCAGCACCAGGUUUAGGAGGAGUGAAGAACCAGAACUUGCGUUCUGUUUGUCCCACACGUCCCAUAUAGUAGUACUUGGUGUCAUACUGCAAGAAGAGAACCACAAAGUCAGAUACAUGACAAAAGAAAAGAUUGUGAAAUGAUGAUGAUGGACCUCUAAAUUUCUAAGGGUGCAAUGAUGGAUGUGACCAGACGUAUAGUUGUAGAACUUGUACGUCUUGGAUUUGCCAUGGGCUUUUAGCAUUUUGCAGCUAUGAUCUUUCCAGUAAAGAACCGUGUUAAAUCCUCGUGCUUUUUGCGCCAUCCAAGAAACUAUCACUUCCUUCAAGGUCUCCUUGUGUAGUGUGCAACGUUUUGUGGAAAACCCAAAUCAAAAACUCUAGUUUAGAUCUGUUGUUUAACAAGGAAGAAAAUAAAAGUUUGCGUCUUUGUAAAAUUUCAAUAAGCAAAGGUUAAAUCAUUUAAGAACAUCCAAUAAAUUUAUAUGAACAAGAUUAAAAAAAAAGACAAAAGUGAUACCAUAAGUAACAAAACUCAUAAAAGAUUGUUGAUUAAUUUAUAUGAAGGAAAAGAGGUAUGCGUACCUGUUGAGGUGCAUCGCAACCAGGAGAAACACGAAAUACAUCACUAUCGAGUGGCAUAUCAACCGUUGCUUGUAACCUCCUGACGUAACUACUUGUUGUACCACCAUGAGAGAACAGCACUAAGCUGUCUAGAACCAAACACAGGAAAAGAAGAACAUAAUAUGGAUUUAACGCUUGGAAAUGGCCCAUUUUCUUGAGUGCUCAGAUUAUCUUGUGUGAAGAAAGGUCCUCUGAAGAGCUAAUCGUAUAAAGACAGAUAAGUUUCCUUAUGAAGCUGGUGCUGAUGGGAAUCAUAUCAUGCAUCUUCCACCUCCCUCCCAAAAAAGUUGAAUAAAUUGUCAUUUUUAAGAGAAAAUUGCUAAUAUAUACAAAAUAGCUAUUAAAUAUUUUAAAAAGACCAAUUUUUAUUUUGAUUGCUUCUGCUCUUUAAAAUGUCAGGACGGGCAUGAUAUGCAUGUGUUGUCUUGAGCAACGGAAUAUGAAUGUUGUUAUAUUUCCUUAACAUCCACGCUUUGCAUGGGGUGAGACGGGUGUGAAAAUUAUAUGUUCAAA
Long non-coding RNA from Brassica napus (rape), 7487 nucleotides. RefSeq lists it as uncharacterized. The record is from RefSeq and is a predicted model, not a curated record. Lineage: Eukaryota; Viridiplantae; Streptophyta; Magnoliopsida; Brassicales; Brassicaceae. The transcript is spliced from 4 exons.